AACGAACGCUGGCGGCAUGCCUAACACAUGCAAGUCGAACGAGACCUUCGGGUCUAGUGGCGCACGGGUGCGUAACGCGUGGGAACCUGCCCUUAGGUUCGGAAUAACUCCCCGAAAGGGGUGCUAAUACCGGAUAAUGUCUUCGGACCAAAGAUUUAUCGCCUUUGGAUGGGCCCGCGUUGGAUUAGCUAGUUGGUAGGGUAAAAGCCUACCAAGGCGACGAUCCAUAGCUGGUCUGAGAGGAUGAUCAGCCACACUGGGACUGAGACACGGCCCAGACUCCUACGGGAGGCAGCAGUGGGGAAUAUUGGACAAUGGGCGCAAGUCUGAUACAGCAAUGCCGCGUGAGUGAUGAAGGCCUUAGGGUUGUAAAGCUCUUUUACCCGGGAUGAUAAUGGCAGUACCGGGAGAAUAAGCACCGGCUAACUCCGUG
RNAcentral lists this ribosomal RNA (433 nucleotides) under uncultured bacterium. RNAcentral describes it as "partial 16S ribosomal RNA". It matches the Rfam family "Bacterial small subunit ribosomal RNA", at positions 29 to 507 of the family's 1533-position model. The record is from RNAcentral.